Molecule: long non-coding RNA, 345 nt
Organism: Esox lucius (northern pike)
Lineage: Eukaryota; Metazoa; Chordata; Actinopteri; Esociformes; Esocidae
Exons: 3
Source: RefSeq, a predicted model, not a curated record
CCCACAUGGUGGAUCAUUGUUGCUGUUAUUGCCUGUUCGUUUAUUGCAGCUUCAGUUUUGAAGAAAUUGUUGGAUCCUAAUCCCAAAAGACUGAGAAGAGAGGCGAGUGACUCACCUCACUGAUAAGUUCUGUGGCCCUCUUGAAACCCUCCAACUCAAUGGCUCCAGUGCCGAUCCAGGCAACACCACGCAGAAGGAGAGAAAGCCCAUUGGUCGGGAAGUGGAGGCAUAUAAAGCGAGACAAAAAUAAUCUGUCAUUCUGUAAAUGUUCUUAUUGAUGGAACUGACCUCAAUCUACUUUCCUGUUCCUAAAAGUAAAAUAUACCACAUAAUAAAACAGGUUUU